GACGAACGCUGGCGGCGUGCUUAACACAUGCAAGUCGAACGGAAAGGCCCUGCUUUUGUGGGGUGCUCGAGUGGCGAACGGGUGAGUAACACGUGAGUAACCUGCCCUUGACUUUGGGAUAACUUCAGGAAACUGGGGCUAAUACCGGAUAGGAGCUCCUGCUGCAUGGUGGGGGUUGGAAAGUUUCGGCGGUGGGGGAUGGACUCGAGGCUUAUCAGCUUGUUGGUGGGGUAGUGGCUUACCAAGGCUUUGACGGGUAGCCGGCAUGAGAGGGUGACCGGCGACAUUGGGACUGAGAUACGGCCCAGACUCCUACGGGAGGCAGCAGUGGAGAAUAUUGCACAGUGGGCGGAAGCCAGAGGCAACAGCGCCGCGUGCGGGAUGACGGCCUUCGAGUUGUAAACCACUUUCGCCUGUGACGAAGCGUGAGUGACGGUAAUGGGUAAAGAAGCACCGGCUAACUACGUG
RNAcentral lists this ribosomal RNA (468 nucleotides) under uncultured bacterium. RNAcentral describes it as "partial 16S ribosomal RNA". It matches the Rfam family "Bacterial small subunit ribosomal RNA", at positions 28 to 507 of the family's 1533-position model. The record is from RNAcentral.